This is a long non-coding RNA of Vitis riparia (riverbank grape), 1251 nucleotides long. RefSeq lists it as uncharacterized. NCBI's taxonomy places the organism in Eukaryota, Viridiplantae, Streptophyta, Magnoliopsida, Vitales, Vitaceae. The record is from RefSeq and is a predicted model, not a curated record. The transcript is spliced from 2 exons.
ACCAUUCCUGUCAUCGUCACGCUUCAGCUUUAUAGUUGGUGGUCAUCUUAAGUGCAUUAUAUCUCGAUUGCCACGUGAAACAACAUUUGAGUUUAAAAAGCAAAAAAAAUGCUUGAAGUAUGUUAAUGGCGAAGAUAUCCCAGUUGAAAUUAAGGAAGUGCUCUAGCAUGCUACUGCACUCUUCCUGGAUCGUCAUUUAACUCUUACCAAGCUAUCUGAAUUUGGGAUUGAAAAUAUGAAGAAGUUGGAAGUUUGUGUAUUGGGGGAAUGUAAGGAGAUCCAAACCCUUGUAGAUGGAGCUGAAAUCAAUAAGCAAGAAGAUAAUGCUAGAGAUGUCAAUGAAGAUACUGUACUUGGAUCACUACAGUACUUGAGUAUUCAUUAUAUGAAGAAUUUAAGGAGCUUCUGGAAAGGGCCAGUUCAAAAGGGUUGUCUAUCCAGCCUAAAGUCCUUGGCAUUGCAUACAUGUCCCCAAUUGACAACCAUUUUCACUUUGGAUUUGCUUGAAAAUCUCAACAUCUUAGAGGAGCUUGUGAUUGAAAAUUGUCCUAAAAUCAACAGCCUUGUAACCCAUGAGCUUCCUGCUGAAGAAAUACAGUUGUGCUCAAUAGAGCAUCUUCCAAAGUUGAAGAAGAUAUCUCUUCAUUAUAUGCAUGAAUUGGUCAGUAUUUCUAGUGGUUUAUGCAUUGCACCAAAAGUAGAAUGGAUGAGCUUCUAUGGUUGCCCAAACCUCAAAACUCUUUCUCCCAUGGAUGUUUCAAGUAGCAAUUUAAAGGAGAUCAUAGGAGAGGUGGACUGGUGGAAUGAAUUGACUUGGAAUGUUCAGAAAGAAAAUCUGGAUUCUAUAUUUGUCCCCGUUAAAGGAGUCACAGAAUUGAUGAAUCAGAUAGCAGAAAUUGGUGAUCAGCUUCAGCACUGAAGCAAGAGAGAAGCCUUCUCAACAUCCAGAUUGAGGAGACUCCCUGAACAUGGUGGAAAGAGAAAUGAAGUGGCUACUCUCUGGACUGGAAGCUGAGUUAUUCAUGCUUGUAUAAUUAUGUCUGAAUUUUUAGAACUUCUGAGAAUCUUGCUGAUUGUUUUUUCAAUUAUUGUCUGUAGUUUUGAUGCCUUGUUUAGUUGCCAUGAAUGUGGAAAAGGGAAGGGGAUUCGGAAUCUUCCAAAAACUCUGCUUGAACUAUCAAAACUUGCUUAUUCUCUGAUCACUUGGAAUAAAUUGUAAUGUAGACUUGCAGUAUGCCUUUGCGUGCAGAA